Non-coding RNA from Podarcis lilfordi (Lilford's wall lizard), 66 nucleotides. The record is from the annotation of a GenBank genome assembly. Lineage: Eukaryota; Metazoa; Chordata; Lepidosauria; Squamata; Lacertidae.
AAAGCUCAGUGGCAGAGCAUCUGCUUCACAAACAGAAGGUCCCGGGUUCAGUCCCCAGCAGCAUCU